GCCUCCUAAAAGGUAACGGAGGCGCUCAAAGGUUCCCUCAGAAUGGUUGGAAAUCAUUCAUAGAGUGUAAAGGCAUAAGGGAGCUUGACUGCGAGACCUACAAGUCGAGCAGGGUCGAAAGACGGACUUAGUGAUCCGGUGGUUCCGCAUGGAAGGGCCAUCGCUCAACGGAUAAAAGCUACCCCGGGGAUAACAGGCUUAUCUCCCCCAAGAGUUCACAUCGACGGGGAGGUUUGGCACCUCGAUGUCGGCUCAUCGCAUCCUGGGGCUGUAGUCGGUCCCAAGGGUUGGGCUGUUCGCCCAUUAAAGCGGUACGCGAGCUGGGUUCAGAACGUCGUGAGACAGUUCGGUCCCUAUCCGUCGUGGGCGUAGGAAAUUUGAGAGGAGCUGUCCUUAGUACGAGAGGACCGGGAUGGACAUACCUCUGGUGUACCAGUUGUCGUGCCAACGGCAUAGCUGGGUAGCUAUGUGUGGACGGGAUAAGUGCUGAAAGCAUCUAA
Molecule: ribosomal RNA, 500 nt
Filed under: Staphylococcus aureus
Lineage: Bacteria; Bacillati; Bacillota; Bacilli; Caryophanales; Staphylococcaceae
Description: partial 23S ribosomal RNA
Rfam family: Bacterial large subunit ribosomal RNA
Source: RNAcentral